Molecule: transfer RNA, 74 nt
Filed under: Caudoviricetes sp.
Lineage: Duplodnaviria; Heunggongvirae; Uroviricota; Caudoviricetes
Description: tRNA-Met
Rfam family: tRNA
About the family: Transfer RNA (tRNA) molecules are approximately 80 nucleotides in length. Their secondary structure includes four short double-helical elements and three loops (D, anti-codon, and T loops).
Source: RNAcentral
GGAGGAUUAGCUCAGCUGGUUAGAGCAACCGGCUCAUAACCGGUCGGCCCUGGGUUCAAGUCCCAGAGACUCCA